AGAGAAGAAUAAUUCACAGAAUUGAAACUGAAACUUCACCAACCCACCAACCCUAAGAAUCAAAAUUAAACCGGGAAAAACCACCUCUUGACGCCGAUCGGGCCACCGGCCAUCACCUCACCAUUCACCCGCAUCGUAGCCGUCGCCACCACAUCAAAUCGACAAUCGCCAUCGUGCCAAAAUUUCGAGAAUCCAAUCCUUCAAAACCACCAAUUUCGUAUGUUUAAUCCUAAUUUUUUUCCUUACCAAAGAUCCACUAUCUGCACUACGAAUUUUUAAGGGGGUAUGCUUUUAGGAUUAGUUUGUUGGAGAACGUCGAGUGGUGGUCGGAACUGUUACCCUUGUACAACUUUCGAAGGUGAAAUUUUUGCAAAUAUUUUCAAGAAUUUGAUCAAACUGAAGGUUCUUGAUUUGGGUGAAAAAUUGUUCAAGAGGAUUGAUAGAGCUGUUGAAGAUAGACCUCAUUUUCAAUGAAUUUUUUGAGAAAAUCCAAGAAAAUCAAACCAGUUCAAUUUGGGUGUGUUGUACGAGUUUGAUCCAUUUUGAAAUGGGGGUUUAACAUGUGUGGUCAAAUCGAAAAGUAUUGUAUGUGUUCGCCGACAAUGAUGUCGGACGUGGUGCCGAUGUUAGGUGAUGGUCUUUGUUUGUUUAUUUAAUGCGG
Molecule: long non-coding RNA, 661 nt
Filed under: Olea europaea (common olive)
Lineage: Eukaryota; Viridiplantae; Streptophyta; Magnoliopsida; Lamiales; Oleaceae
Description: long non-coding RNA (OEUR_LNC003443)
Source: RNAcentral